This 782-nucleotide ribosomal RNA is filed under the name uncultured Neocallimastigales. RNAcentral describes it as "partial large subunit ribosomal RNA". It matches the Rfam family "Eukaryotic large subunit ribosomal RNA", at positions 24 to 634 of the family's 3401-position model. The record is from RNAcentral. Lineage: Eukaryota; Fungi; Neocallimastigomycota; Neocallimastigomycetes; Neocallimastigales.
GGUAGUCUCGCACAGAUGCAUAUCAAUAAGCGGAGGAAAAGAAACUAACAAGGAUUCCCUUAGUAACGGCGAGUGAAGCGGGAAGAGCUCAAAUUCGAAAUCUUCAAGGUUUUACCUUGACGAAUUGUAGUUUAAAGAAGUGUUUUCUGCUGAAGUUUUGGUAAAAGUUCUUUGGAAUAGGACAUCAUAGAGGGUGAGAAUCCCGUAUUUGACCAUUAUUUUCAGCUUUGUGAUACACUUUCAAAGAGUCGGAUUGUUUGGGAAUGCAGUCCAAAAUGGGUGGUAAAUUUCAUCUAAAGCUAAAUAUUGGCGAGAGACCGAUAGCGAACAAGUACCGUGAGGGAAAGAUGAAAAGAACUUUGAAAAGAGAGUUAAACAGUACGUGAAAUUGUCAAAAGGGAAGCGUUUGACACCAGUGUUGUUCUCUCGAAAAUCAAUUAAAAAUGGCUCGAUUUUGUAUUGCUGAGACCUUAAAAGCUCACUGUACAUUUUUCGUGUCUUUUUUAAUGCACUUUUCGUUUAACAAGUCAACAUCAGUUUCUUUUGUUGUAAAAGGGUCAUUGGAAGGUGGCUUUCUUUUCGGAGAAAGUGUUUAUAGCCUUUGGCCUCUGCAAUCGGAGAGACUGAGGUCUGCAGCGUAGACUCUUCGGGGUUAGAUACUCAUGUGCUAAGUGUGAUAGCCAUUUUCAUAGACAACUUGUUGACUAUAAUAGUUUUGUCUAUUGCAUACUCGCUUGUACUAUCAUACCUACGCUUAGGAUGUUGAGUCGUAGAGCACGCAG